GCUAGCGUAGCUCAAUUGGCAGAGCCACCGACUUGUAAUCGGUAGGUUGCGGGUUCGAGUCCCAUCGCUAGCUCCA
Molecule: transfer RNA, 76 nt
Filed under: bacterium
Lineage: Bacteria
Description: tRNA-Thr
Rfam family: tRNA
About the family: Transfer RNA (tRNA) molecules are approximately 80 nucleotides in length.
Source: RNAcentral